RNAcentral lists this ribosomal RNA (253 nucleotides) under uncultured bacterium. RNAcentral describes it as "partial 16S ribosomal RNA". It matches the Rfam family "Bacterial small subunit ribosomal RNA", at positions 524 to 776 of the family's 1533-position model. The record is from RNAcentral.
UACGAAGGGGGCUAGCGUUGCUCGGAAUCACUGGGCGUAAAGCGCACGUAGGCGGAUUGCUAAGUCAGGGGUGAAAUCCUGGAGCUCAACUCCAGAACUGCCUUUGAUACUGGCGAUCUUGAGUCCGGGAGAGGUGAGUGGAACUGCGAGUGUAGAGGUGAAAUUCGUAGAUAUUCGGAGGAACACCAGUGGCGAAGGCGGCUCACUGGCCCGAUACUGACGCUGAGGCACGAAAGCGUGGGGAGCAAACAGG